Patella vulgata (common limpet) is the source of this 615-nucleotide long non-coding RNA. RefSeq lists it as uncharacterized. The record is from RefSeq and is a predicted model, not a curated record. The transcript is spliced from 3 exons. Lineage: Eukaryota; Metazoa; Mollusca; Gastropoda; Patellidae.
UUAUGGUAGCAAUGGUACUUGACAAUCGGGAUAAAUUUACUUUGUUGCUUGUCAAAAUUUUCAAUAGAUUUAUUUUCCAUUAUCAAUUUUUAAAUUAUUAUAGCAACAGCGGCCAGCACUUUUUCUAGAUUUUACAUACUGCAUCUUUAAUCACAAACAUUCCAACCCAACUAAAAUAAUGGUUAAGCUAAUCGGUGGAUCACAUAUCAAACCAAACAUACUUUGCACUUUGUUUUUCCCUGAUUUACUUCUGUGAUGUUUUGGUUUCAAAUCAGUCAUAAUAUUUAAUGUUAGCCCAACUGGACAGUGGAGAGUAUAGCUAGAGGUAUCCCUGUGAUGGACCAUUGAUGCUGGAUAUAUCCUACGAAUUCGAAGUUGGCAAACGUCCGACUUCAAAGAUACAUAAUUGGACAUAUGGUGAAUAAAUAUUAACUGUACUGAGUAGAUACAGAGAUACUGUUAGCACUUUGGGAUGAGGCAGGAACAAUGAAAUAAAAUGAAAUGGGGUUUAACGUCCUACUCUUCUGCUCCUAAACUGGGCUAGUGAAGACCGGCAUACACCAUACAGUGUGCUAUGAGGUAAAUUUUAACUUGUCUAACAAUUACAGUGAGUUG